GCCGGGCGUGGUGGCUCACGCCUGUAAUCCCAGCACUUUGGGAGGCCGAGGUGGGUGGAUCACCUGAGGUCAGGAGAGUUCGAGACCAGCCUGGCCAACAUGGUGAAACCCCAUCUCUA
This is an unclassified non-coding RNA of Pongo abelii (Sumatran orangutan), 119 nucleotides long. It matches the Rfam family "Metazoan signal recognition particle RNA". Rfam says of the family: The signal recognition particle (SRP) is a universally conserved ribonucleoprotein. Lineage: Eukaryota; Metazoa; Chordata; Mammalia; Primates; Hominidae. The record is from Ensembl.